RNAcentral lists this ribosomal RNA (262 nucleotides) under uncultured archaeon. RNAcentral's name for it is "partial 16S ribosomal RNA". It matches the Rfam family "Archaeal small subunit ribosomal RNA", at positions 748 to 1009 of the family's 1478-position model. The record is from RNAcentral.
CAGCCGUAAACUAUGCGCGUUAGGUGUAUCGGUGACCACGAGUCACCGAGGUGCCGAAGGGAAACCGUGAAACGUGCCGCCUGGGAAGUACGGUCGCAAGGCUGAAACUUAAAGGAAUUGGCGGGGGAGCACCACAACGGGUGGAGCCUACGGUUUAAUUGGACUCAACGCCGGACAACUCACCGGGGACGGACAGCAAUAUGUAGGCCAGGCUGAAGACCUUGCCUGAAUCGCUGAGAGGAGGUGCAUGGCGUAGACGUCU